UGGGGAAUAUUGCACAAUGGGGGAAACCCUGAUGCAGCAACGCCGCGUGAGCGAUGAAGGCCUUCGGGUUGUAAAGCUCUGUCUUCGGGGACGAUAAUGACGGUACCCGAGGAGGAAGCCACGGCUAACUACGUGCCAGCAGCCGCGGUAAUACGUAGGUGGCAAGCGUUGUCCGGAAUUAUUGGGCGUAAAGGAUGCGUAGGUGGUCCUUUAAGUGGGAUGUGAAAUCCCUGGGCUUAACCCAGGAAUUGCAUUCCAAACUGGAGGACUAGAGUGCAGGAGAGGAGAGUGGAAUUCCCAGUGUAGCGGUGAAAUGCGUAGAGAUUGGGAGGAACACCAGUGGCGAAGGCGGCUUUCUGGACUGUAACUGACACUGAGGCAUGAAAGCGUGGGGAGCAAACA
Molecule: ribosomal RNA, 402 nt
Filed under: uncultured bacterium
Lineage: Bacteria
Description: bacterial SSU rRNA
Rfam family: Bacterial small subunit ribosomal RNA
Source: RNAcentral